CGGGAUCCGUCCCGUUGGAAUGUGGCUGCAAAAACAGUAGCUGAACCGUGAA
Molecule: non-coding RNA, 52 nt
Filed under: unclassified sequences
Description: eL15-Euryarchaeota ribosomal protein leader
Rfam family: eL15-Euryarchaeota ribosomal protein leader
Source: RNAcentral